This 439-nucleotide ribosomal RNA is filed under the name uncultured bacterium. RNAcentral describes it as "bacterial SSU rRNA". It matches the Rfam family "Bacterial small subunit ribosomal RNA", at positions 338 to 795 of the family's 1533-position model. The record is from RNAcentral.
CCUACGGGGGGCAGCAGUGGGGAAUAUUGCACAAUGGGGGAAACCCUGAUGCAGCGACGCCGCGUGAGCGAUGAAGGCCUUCGGGUCGUAAAGCUCUGUCCUAAGGGAAGAUAAUGACGGUACCUUAGGAGGAAGCCCCGGCUAACCACGUGCCAGCAGCCGCGGUAAUACGUAGGGGGCGAGCGUUGUCCGGAAUGACUGGGCGUAAAGGGUACGUAGGCGGCUAGAUAAGUCAGAUGUGAAAGGCAUAGGCUUAACCUGUGUGAGCAUUUGAAACUGUCUAGCUUGAGUCAAGAAGAGGAAAGUGGAAUUCCUGGUGUGGCGGUGAAAUGCGUAGAUAUCAGGAGGAAUACCAGUGGCGAAGGUGACUUUCUGGACUUAGACUGACGCUGAGGUACGAAAGCGUGGGGAGCAAACAGGAGUAGAUACCCGUGUAGUC